RNAcentral lists this transfer RNA (72 nucleotides) under Stegodyphus mimosarum. It matches the Rfam family "tRNA". Rfam says of the family: Transfer RNA (tRNA) molecules are approximately 80 nucleotides in length. Their secondary structure includes four short double-helical elements and three loops (D, anti-codon, and T loops). Further hydrogen bonds mediate the characteristic L-shaped molecular structure. tRNAs have two regions of fundamental functional importance: the anti-codon, which is responsible for specific mRNA codon recognition, and the 3' end, to which the tRNAs corresponding amino acid is attached (by aminoacyl-tRNA synthetases). tRNAs cope with the degeneracy of the genetic code in two manners: having more than one tRNA (with a specific anti-codon) for a particular amino acid; and 'wobble' base-pairing, i.e. permitting non-standard base-pairing at the 3rd anti-codon position. The record is from Rfam by way of RNAcentral. Lineage: Eukaryota; Metazoa; Arthropoda; Arachnida; Araneae; Eresidae.
GCCUUCGUGGUGUAGUGGUCAGCACACUCGGCAGGUAUUCGAGAGGUACGUGGUUCGAGUCCCGCGAGGGCA